GGGGGAAAUGAUAGACUCAUUACCUCUGGUCUCAGCAUAGUUAGUGGGGUGCUUGCUUUGGAUGCAGGAAUACAAAAAACUCCUCAGAACCUGCUAUUUUAGGCACAGUGAAACACUUUUUAUGGAUGAUAGUCACCUAACAGUAGGAUUAGUCAGUGUGUUGUAUGGCUAACUAAACUAGAUCCCUUUUCUUGUUUCCUUUACAAUCUUUUCCCUGUUACUCUUCCUCUCCCCUCUCUGCCAUAGGGUGGUUUUUUUCUACUGCAUGUUUAAUAGCUCCCUAAAUUUCUAAUUUUGGUUCUCCUCAGCUCUGCCAUCUGUCCCACAGUCUUUCCAUGUUUCUUUUAUAUCACCUGUCAUCCAGAUCAAUUGUUGCUCUGCCACCACCCCUCAGUAAUAUACUGCACUUCCCUCCCCUUCAUUUAGGCACACCCGAUUCUUUCUCCGACCUUGGCAGAUGCUGAGGACAGCCUUUGAAAGCUUUAGGAGAGGUGCGAGUGCCUACUCAGCACAGAAGGCACACCCCACCUCCCAGCAGGAGAAGUCUGCCAAGCGCAAGAGCUGUCUCAGAUUAAAGAAAAUCCAGAUGGGGUGCAGGUGCUGCAAAAUGAUACAAAGGUACAACAGAACAAAAAAAUGCUUAGCCUGAAUAAAAGAAAAGCAUUAAAAGAUACGUCUGUGCUCCUCUGUAUUUGUUGCUUAAAUUAAGACUUUACCAGCUUGGAAUUAUCUCAAAAUUUACAAUUUUUUCAAAGUCAUGGCAGAGCACAGGUAUUCUGAUUUCCUAUGAACAUCCUUUUGAUUUACUGUAAUGACGGUUCAUUUCUGUAAUUCCUAACCCCCAGAAAAGCUGUGUGGCAUUCAGAAUUUGUCUUUACCAAAGUUUUUUCCCCACCUAGGUAGCAUGAGCUUGCCUCAACUCAGUAGAGUAAGAAGAAUAGACUUUGUCAGAUCCUCCCUCUCCCCUAAACACUGAAAAUGAGCUACAGAUCCUUACUUCCAUCAUAGCUUUUAAAUGUAGUUAGUUGUGAGAACAACUCCCACAUUAAAAGUCUCUCUCAGUAGAAGUUUGCCAGCUCUAGAAAGACAACGCUUCAGCCCCACUUGAUGAUUGCUCCUGACCACAUCUCUAAAGCAGGUAAGGAAACAGGAAAAAAAGCUGGUGAUAUGGAAGAGGAGAGAGAAAGAGAAGCAAGAGAGGCUUUGAAAGAAACAUGUCAAGGAAAAAUUAGCAGAGGGAGAAAAACAAGUUGAAAAAAAGGAAAGAGGAGAGGACAAAAAUAUAAAAAGAAAAGGACAAAGAGACAAGACUUGAGAGGAAGAGUACUAGAUAAAAAAGGCAGACUUAUUUUAGCAGUAACAGUAACAUCAGGACACAUUAAAUAAACAAUCUGUAUGAUGACUACUUAUUGGCUAA
This 1417-nucleotide long non-coding RNA is filed under the name Struthio camelus australis. RNAcentral's name for it is "lncRNA (ENSSCUG00000006598.1)". Lineage: Eukaryota; Metazoa; Chordata; Aves; Struthioniformes; Struthionidae. The record is from RNAcentral.